GAGCCUCGCUAGGGGUGCCGCCGCGGCGGCUGAGACAGUCCCUUCGAACCUGAUUGAGAUCAUCCUCGCGCAGGAAAGCAGCUCGCCACGGCG
RNAcentral lists this non-coding RNA (93 nucleotides) under Castellaniella defragrans. RNAcentral's name for it is "TPP sequence". It matches the Rfam family "TPP riboswitch aptamer (THI element)". Rfam says of the family: Vitamin B(1) in its active form thiamin pyrophosphate (TPP) is an essential coenzyme that is synthesised by coupling of pyrimidine and thiazole moieties in bacteria. Lineage: Bacteria; Pseudomonadati; Pseudomonadota; Betaproteobacteria; Burkholderiales; Alcaligenaceae. The record is from RNAcentral. RNAcentral also lists the same sequence under 1 other name.